CAGCGAAACGGGUUAAGAGAGACAAGAGGAUGUUGGUUAGAGUAGGAGAGCAGGGUGAGGUUUGGUCAGCGAUUUGUUGGGAUCGGGAAAGGGGAGCUAGGAGUGCCGGGGGAGAGGAGGAACAAGUAGUGGUGGCGAAGGAAGAUGGGGGGAGGUGGGACGGAAGGAAGAGAAGUAACAGCUCGGCUCCCGGAGCGGGUCCGCCGGCGGCGGCCCGAGCCGGGGCGGCGGAGGGCGGUGUUGACACGCGUGCCACUUGUUCCUAGAGACCCGACGGCGGUGGCCGGCCCCCUCUUGCCUACCUUCUCGUCUUCUUAGCGGGAGGCUGGUACAGCAACCGCUGGCUACUAUCUAUCGGGUUAGCUAGAUGGAGCAGAGUACAACUCUACUAGUUCUAUACCGUUUCGGGAAGUACCCUAAGUUCCCCUUCUACGUUGUAUACACCACGGAAUACAUUCGAUUCGGCCCAAUAACCUUGAUUAACAGGAAGUCCAAUCGUAGUGGAGUCUUAUAUUGUAGUAGAUACAACUUCACCACAUAAACACGAUGAGAAAUGGGUGGUACCACUCAACGACGAAACAAGGGUAGUUCCACUCUACAAAGAAGUAAUGGAAGGAACAGAGGAUAACCUAAUUUCCAGAUACUUGACUAGGUACGAUGUAAAGUAAGGGAUGAGAGAACACGAUCUUUGAAAACCAAGAGACAACCAACAACCCAAAGAGGUAUAUACGUAGAACAAUGUUGUUCCAACUUACGGAAAACAACGGAACGAGUAAAUCACAAACGCCUUUCUAGGUACCCUAUUACACAACCACGUCUAUCUGACGGGCAUACGUCUUGGAUAGGAAUCUAAAACAGACCUUAUUACAAAAGCACGAAUGUCAAGAACACCACUAAACACGACUUUUUAGAUGCCCGACUACAUAACCACACCAGUCGGGAUGGACACGUCUUAGAAACAAAUGUAAAACAGUUUUACAACGCAAGAACGAAUUAAAAGAGUACCACCAAACCAGGAUAUCUAUUUAGUACACACACACACACACAUACUACAUAACACAGACUACGUACAAAUACAUCAACAAGCUACAUACAGAUACAUAUAGAGAUAAAUUAUUUGGACAUAUUAAUAUAUACCAAUCUCGUCGUCUUAGUUUUGAUUAAUAACAGUACGAUCUUACCCAAGUUACCACAAACGGAGGACUCCAUAACUGUACAAAACGUUGUAAGAUAAGUUUUGUUCCACCCCUCCCGAGGCCUACCGUUGUACUCUCAUAUAGCUAUAACGAAAUUCGAACGAAGAAAGAAACAAACCAAGUGCUCAAGGUCUACGUACGUCACACGUAACCUGUUACAACGCCUCCCAAGUUAAAGAAUAAAAAGUCUAAAACGUCAUUGUCCCUACACAUAUUAUCUUAAUUGACUUAACCACGAAUGCCCAAAACCACGUACUGAAGAUGAACGAGUUAAUCAAUCGACUUGAUAAACAAAUCUCUAAAGUCACGCCUCACUAGGAGGUCCUUUACCGUUCUCUCAAUUUCAUGGUAUAAUCUGAUAAAAACACCGGACACCGAAAUCUCCGGCCCUUAACCUCGUGAACAUCCUUCGGUAAGCCCAAUAUCUAUAGUAUAACUCUGUUGUGAGACGGUUCGCCAUACAAACAAAGAUACAUGAAGACCCACGAUUAAGUGGUAGAACUAAAACCGACCCUCCACACUGUACCACACCGUAUAUCUCCAUUAAACCACAGGAGAGAGAAACGGAGAACGAAGGAGGUUGUGAGACCAAAACUAACACGACUACGACGUCUGUAAAAUUGAAACAUUCAUACAACAAUAUUAGUAUGAAUACAGAUCGGUUUAAGAUAUCCGACCUGGAAUAUUAAAAUAUUAGUAAUCUGGGUUAGAAACAUAGAUGAAACGGAGAACAUCGAACCAAUCGUUUUUUUAACACGAUUCCACAAUCACUACCAACAAGAUGUAGACUUCCGUUGAAAUAACGGGUAUUAGACGUAGGAGAAAAGAAACCUUUCUUUAUGAGUAAAACGAGAUGAUUUGACUUUUAAGGUGAACUUUAAUAAAUAAAAAUACUAUAUACCAGCACGUCGACAUUACACUAGUCUUUAGUCAAUCAUUACAAUGUGUAUUAAGUGAGAGAAUUCGUACAAAGACAACAUUACCAAUCAACAGUGUCACGUACAUAAACUCGGGUAGUAGUCCAAAGAUAACAACAAAUUUAAUUAAAAAAUCCUUUGAUAAACUAGAAGAUAUCCGGUAAACAAGAGAUAACAAAAAGAAAUCUUCAAAGAGGUACUACCAUGAAAGGUGGGCCUUCGGUCUUUUUCUUAGAUCCGGCCACUGGGACGAAAACAAGAUUACCCGUAGGGAAGUAGCUUACUUCGAAGUUGGACUCGUUCCCGUACGAACGUCUACUACAUAGACAAAUUACAAACAAUCUUCUCCGCUGGCGAACCAACUAAAACAAACGUGCAAGACAUUUUAUCUGAAUCGUUGUUUCGAAGCUGUUAAACAAGCGACAGUAGAGGAAAAGUUUGUUAUAUGGUACAAGACCAAGAAAUUAGACAUUACAUAUAAGAUACUGAUAGGUUUGAUAAUAAACAUGUGGUUGAGUUUUCAACACUUAGUUACUCGUGUAUAAGAUUC
RNAcentral lists this ribosomal RNA (2663 nucleotides) under Triticum aestivum (bread wheat). RNAcentral describes it as "partial small subunit ribosomal RNA". Lineage: Eukaryota; Viridiplantae; Streptophyta; Magnoliopsida; Poales; Poaceae. The record is from RNAcentral.